RNAcentral lists this ribosomal RNA (551 nucleotides) under uncultured bacterium. RNAcentral's name for it is "bacterial SSU rRNA". It matches the Rfam family "Bacterial small subunit ribosomal RNA", at positions 355 to 896 of the family's 1533-position model. The record is from RNAcentral.
UGGGGAAUAUUGCGCAAUGGGCGAAAGCCUGACGCAGCGACGCCGCGUGGGUGAUGAAGGCCUUCGGGUCGUAAAGCCCUGUCUGGUGGAACGAAACGCCUGGCGGCYAAUACCCGCUGGGUUUGACGGUACCACCGAAGGAAGCCCCGGCUAACUACGUGCCAGCAGCCGCGGUAAGACGUAGGGGGCGAGCGUUGUUCGGAUUUACUGGGCGUAAAGCGCGCGUAGGCGGCCAGAUAAGUCGGGUGUGAAAGCCCUCGGCUCAACCGAGGUUCCGCAUCCGAUACUGUUUGGCUGGAGUCUAGGAGAGGAGAGCGGAAUUCCCAGUGUAGCGGUGAAAUGCGUAGAUAUUGGGAGGAACACCCGUGGCGAAGGCGGCUCUCUGGACUAGUACUGACGCUGAGGCGCGAAAGCUAGGGGAGCGAACGGGAUUAGAUACCCCGGUAGUCCUAGCCGUAAACGAUGGGCACUAGGUGUGGGAGGUAUUGACCCCUUCCGCGCCGAAGCUAACGCAUUAAGUGCCCCGCCUGGGGAGUACGGCCGCAAGGCUA